CCUUGGGGACAGUCCACGGGGAGGGAGGGGACACCGGGGACCCCACCCGGGACAUCCCAGCGCCCGAGCCGGGCUGGGCUUUGGCACCUGAUCCCCUCCGGGACAGAGCUGGGCUCGAGGGGCGUCGGGGUGGGGGUAAAAUCACCAAAUUGACCAUUAAAUUAAGAAACCUCCUGUUGUUUGUCCCAAUCCUUUGUGGAUUUCGGGCUGGGGGGGUCGGGGGGAGCUCAUAGUGCUUCACAGGGUUAUUAAAAUACAAAUGCUUAAAGUUUCCUAUAUAAAAAUAUACAAAUGCAAAAAUAGAUAUCAAGAGAGAGAGCCGGGGGGGGCUGGGGGGGCCGGGCCCUGCGCCCCCUCCCCGGGGAGCUUCUGCUGCCUUUCCUUUUUUUGCGUGUUUUUUACAAAAAAAAAAACCAACCCCAAAUCAAAACAAGAUUCCUGCUUCCCGCCGGCUCCCGGAGCUGCCGAGCGAGCGGAGCGAAGCUCGGGAUGGAGAUGGGGCAGCUCCUGCUGUCCCGAGGGACCGCGGCUCCUCCCCGGGCUCCUGGCACGGCUGGAGCUUCUCCCGGGACAACCGUGGGCAGCGGGACACGGGCCGGGCUGGGAAGCACCGAGGGGGCGUGGGGUGGCUGCUCUGCACCUGCCCUGGGGGGACGGGCGACAACAGCGCGGGGCAGGUGGGGAGGGAUGGCCCGGGCAGGUGGGGAUGGAUGGCCCGGGCAGGUGAGAACAGCCCGGGGCAGGUGGGGAUGGAUGGCCUGGGCAGGUGGGGAUGGAUGGCCCGGGCAGGUGGGGAUGGAUGGCCCGGGGCAGGUGGGGAGGGAUGGCCCGGGCAGGUGGGGAUGGAUGGCCCGGGCAGGUGGGGAUGGAUGGCCCGGGCAGGUGGGAUUCAUGGACCAGCUCCCAUGCCGGGGGCUCCCCUCUGCCCCGAGCCCAAAACAGGAGCAGGGAAGUUGUGGGUCCCCUCCUGGGCCCCUGCCCCGCUCAGGCCCUGCUGGGCUCGCCCCAGAGCUGCUGCUGGGAACAAUCCCAGAUUUC
Melospiza georgiana is the source of this 1038-nucleotide long non-coding RNA. RefSeq lists it as uncharacterized. The transcript is spliced from 4 exons. The record is from RefSeq and is a predicted model, not a curated record. Lineage: Eukaryota; Metazoa; Chordata; Aves; Passeriformes; Passerellidae.